GGUCUCAUAGCUCAGCUGGUAGAGCAACGGACUGAAAAUCCGUGUGUCGCUGGUUCAACUCCGGCUGGGACCACCA
Molecule: transfer RNA, 76 nt
Filed under: Erysipelotrichaceae bacterium
Lineage: Bacteria; Bacillati; Bacillota; Erysipelotrichia; Erysipelotrichales; Erysipelotrichaceae
Also listed under: 1 other name
Description: tRNA-Phe
Rfam family: tRNA
About the family: Transfer RNA (tRNA) molecules are approximately 80 nucleotides in length. Their secondary structure includes four short double-helical elements and three loops (D, anti-codon, and T loops).
Source: RNAcentral